Rosa rugosa (rugosa rose) is the source of this 2822-nucleotide RNA transcript. It is a transcript of the gene named toll/interleukin-1 receptor-like protein, with no coding region annotated. Lineage: Eukaryota; Viridiplantae; Streptophyta; Magnoliopsida; Rosales; Rosaceae. The transcript has 4 exons. The record is from RefSeq and is a predicted model, not a curated record.
UCUGUUCUAUAGGAUCGUACCUCUGUAUCCUUGAUUUCUAAGGAGACAGGAAUCUAAACCUGGUGGAUGAAGCAGAGCCAUGCGACCAGAGCGUGAUUAAUGGCUGGUGAUCCUCGGGUCACCAUGGCUGUAGAUGAUCGUUCUCAGCUUGAUUCGUCAAGUCUGGGGUGGUCGCUUGGCUGUCUGACAGGUUCCUCCCUCUUUUUAUUUUUCUUUGUUGUUCUUAAACUAGCAUCAGCCUUAAGAUGAUAGAAGCAUUUGAGCUGAUCAGAUUAUCCCGGCAGGAUAAACUGGCCUGAUGGUGAAUGUAAUGUUAUAAGGUAGUUACGUACUGUGAGGACAGAGAAAGGUUGGGACCUGAGUUGGGAUACAAAUCUUGUUUUAAAUUACCACUCACUAAUCUUGAAAGCUUUGAUCAAUCUCAUGCCUUGGUAAGUUAAUAUUUUCAUUAUUUUGUAUUUGUCAUGCACCUCAUAUUAUGGUUGAUUGGUUGCAACUUUUCUUGUUCAUGCUUGUUCCUACCGACUUUAUCUUUCGUUAGUUAAGUCUGGAAAGCUCAGCCAUGUAGGGCACUACCUGUUCCUCUCACUUUAAUUUGAAUCACAAGUAGUGAAAGAUAUCUCGACUAAAGAGCUUAGAAUUUUCCUCAUUGGUUUCUUCUUUUUAUCUCUGCUAUACUAAGAAUUCUAGUCCCAACGAUUCUUUCUUACUUAAUUUCCUCAAAAAAAGAAAAGAAAAAGAAGAAAAGAAAGGAUUCUUUUGUUACUAGCAAGUUCAAAAUCUCUGCAAAUCCAACACUGAUAAUCAGAUCAGCACAAUCUCUCUGUAUUCUCUCUUCUCCCACACUGCUUGAUUUGUUUUGUUUAACAUGCAAGCGUUCGUUCAUUAUUCUUAUCUGUCCAUUUACAUAUGUACAUUCCACCACUUAAUUUAGUAUUUGUUUUAAUUAUUUCUUUAAGCUGGAGAGUUUUUCUCCAAGAAAGAGUUUGCCAGUUUGGACUUGUGGAUUGUACGGGUUUCUGUAAUAUGGCUUCUUCUUCUGCACCUGACGGCUUUAGGUACGAUGUCUUUCUUAGUUUCAGAGGGAAGGACACCCGCAGGGCUUUUACCAGCCAUCUUCGUGCGGCUUUAGAUAGGGAGCAAAUCAAAACCUACAUAGAUUACGAACUUAAGAGUGGAGAGGAAAUUGGACCUGCCCUUCGUAAAGCAAUUGAGGAAUCAAAGCUUUCCGUGGUCAUUUUGUCACAAAACUAUGCUUCUUCCACAUGGUGCUUGAAUGAACUUGCUCAUAUUAUAGAAUGUAAAGAAAGAUAUCAACAAUUGGUUAUACCUAUUUUUUACGAAGUAGAUCCGUCACAUGUACGCCACCAGAGCGAGAGUUAUGAAGCUGCAUUUGUUCAACAUGAACAACAUUACAAGCCAGACAAGGUGCGCAAGUGGAGGGAUGCUUUAACUAUAGCUUCCAACCUAGCUGGGUUUGAUUCACACAGCUUUGGCCAGGAGUCCGAAUUAGUUGAGGGAGUUGUCAAAGUUGUCGAAGACAAUGUGAUGAAGUUGAAUCGCGAAUGCUCAAGCGAUUUGAAGGGCCUGGUUGGAAUUGAAAGUCACAUUACGCUAUGCAUUGCCCCACAAGAUGUUGGGUUCAGCUCAUCGCAACUUAUGAAUUGGAAGGAGCUUGACAUAUCUGUAGCAGAAGAUGAAUGCUUGAAUUGUGGUGGAAUAGGACAUUGGGCCAAAGAUUGCCCUUUAGCAGGUGAUGAGGACAUUAUUGUAGCAGAAGAUCGAUGAAUGCUUCAGGUGCGGUCGUCCAGGACAUUGGGCCAAAGAUUGCCUUUCAGCAGGUGAUCAGGACAUGUAUGGAAGGAAAAUGGGAAGGGAAGCCUACUCAUCCUCGGGUUGGAGCAACUAUGGGGAAGGAGAUAGAUCAUCUGUGGGGAGAAAUGAAUGCUUCAAGUGCGGCCGCCCAGGACAUUGGACCCGAGAUUGCCCUUCUGCAACUGAUCAGGAAAUGCAUGGAAGUGGUCAAGCGGGAGGGGACGAUUCAAACACUGACUACAUUGUUUACUCAUAUGGUGGAAGGAGAAGCCCUCGAACAUUGGCAGCAAAACUGCCCUUCAUCAGCAAUUGGUGGAGGUGGAAAUGACGAUGACUCUGAUUGAAAGCGCAGAGAAAUUUGAGUAAAAGACUAGGAGAUCGAGUCUAGAGGUCAGCUCUCAGAGCUGUAGUGAAGGAAUGCGUACCACAUCGCGGAAUGAGAAACACUAGAGGCGUUGAAAUAUGCAUGCACGUGCAAAUGUAUUCCGACCUUACUUGAGCAGGAUAUGUUCUAUAGGAUCAUACUUCAUACCUCAGUAUCUUGACUUCUAAGGGGUCGCUUGGCUGUCUAACAGGUUCCCCCUCUUUUUAUUUCUUCUUCUUUUUACAAUUUUGUUUCUUCUUAGUUUUCAAACAUUUCAGCGGAAAUUUGAAAUUGAGAUCUCAUCCAUCUCUUCGUGUUAAAUUCGUUAACAAUACCUUUGAUGUAGAUGGUUCCAGUUGAUAUCGUUCCCCCCAGGGCCGGCCCUGAGGGCUGCCACCUGAGGCAGCCGUCUCAGGCCACCGGUUCCCGGGGGUCUCGAGUAAUUUAAUUAUGCAUAUAUGUUAUAUUUUACAUUAUAUACAUUUUGUGCCUUCUAAAGCACAUGUUGAUGCUUUGCGCUAGCGGAAUUGACAUUAUUCCUUAUUCCCACCAACCAAGGUUCGAAUGUUGCUUCUCUUUCACUUCUUUUUGUUUAAUUUUUCAAUUAGUUAAGUCAUUCCUUAGGCCCAGUUCGUACCUUGCA